CUGUCCAACGUUAGCGCAGACACGUUGGCGGCGUGUGCGCCUCCGGGGCUGCUGAUUAGAAUAGGGGACUUGGCCGUGGAUGGAAUCCGGGAAACCCAAACCGGAGAUGGAAGGAUGAGGCUGCGUUUGCAGCGCGUGAAUGGGACGCGGAUAUCAAAGCAGACUGCAAUACCUGUGUGGAAAUAGAAGACAGAAAGGUGAGUCAAUAUUUUUCAUUUUUAGGGUUGCAAACAA
RNAcentral lists this long non-coding RNA (234 nucleotides) under Pan troglodytes (chimpanzee). Its description in RNAcentral is "long non-coding RNA NONPTRT005911". Lineage: Eukaryota; Metazoa; Chordata; Mammalia; Primates; Hominidae. The record is from RNAcentral.